CUUCCUCCCUCUCGGGGAGGGAAGCCAGAGUGCCCGGAACACCAAGGGGCGAGCCUCUGAAUAGUUUUGUUUUAAAAGACAAGCCUAAUUACCACUUUUUCUGGCUCCUUGAAGAAAAAGAAAGAGUUCCCCUGCAAGUCUCCAUUCACCGAUUUCCAGGGGAGGUCCUCUGUGCUGUGCCAGACGGCAAGGCUGGAUGGCCCCAAUCCUGCUCAGACCCUCAGGCUCGGGCUCAGAAUGUGGAGGAGACUGAGGACCCACAGCUUUGCACGAGCCCCCGCGGGCCCUCCAAUUCCAAGAACCAUCUCUCACCUGUUCACGCGUAGCUCCCUCUCCCUCCCACGGCGCCACCCUUUUCACUUCUCUCCUGCACCAUCAGUGAACAGGAAAACUGGAGCAGAGAGGACCAAGGCAGCCUGUGCCAGAGGCGCCUCUCCAUCACUGGUCAGGAGGGAGCAGCUGCUCCAUUUCUUUGGCCCUCAGACCACGGAGCCCCGGGUCACCAGCCUAAACCGCUUAAUGCGCAUCACGCCUGGGUCUCCUUGGAAAUGGCUGAAGCACUUAAAUGGAACGCCCCACCUUUGUCCUCCGCUCCAAAACCACAGGCAGAACUGCACUUGAACCAUCCUUGAACCCAUUUCGCUCUGAAAGAUGCCACCAUUCUGUAGCAAGUGGAGGCGGGCUGGGACAGUGAUUAAGACCACAGACCAGCAGCUACGUGUCCACACGUCAGCCCCUCCUCUCUAUGUGACGUGGGGCAAGUUCCUUCACUUGUCGCAGUCUCCUUCUCCUCCCCUGAUUCAUGAGGAGAAACCCCCCAGUUCCUGUCCUCACAGCUGGAACUUCCUCUUCGCACUAAUUGGAAAAACAUCCUCCGGGGAAGGGCCCAUCUUCACUGAGUGAAUCUUUGGUGGUGACUACAUCAGCUGGAACCUGGCUGGAGCGUUAGCAGCCCUUUUGCACAAUGAGGUGACUUUGGAGAUGAAGUCCAUGUUGCUGGAGAGCGAAAUGCCAUACCAGCCCUGGAGUAACGUCAAAAGAGACAGAAGCCCUGACCGGUUUGGCUCAGUGGAUAGAGCACAUGUCAGCCAGUGAGUCGGCCUGCGGACUGAAGGGUCCCAGGUUCAAUUCC
Myotis myotis is the source of this 1132-nucleotide long non-coding RNA. RefSeq lists it as uncharacterized. NCBI's taxonomy places the organism in Eukaryota, Metazoa, Chordata, Mammalia, Chiroptera, Vespertilionidae. The record is from RefSeq and is a predicted model, not a curated record. The transcript has 6 exons.